AUGCACUCGACGACAAAAUACCACUGGGCUAACAAAGGAUCCAAGAUGGCCGACCGCAACGUGGUCGGUAGCCGAACGGCGGCCACCCUGAAUCAUUAAUAACUACCAAAAGAUACAUUGUUGCAAUGUUUAAUGGGAGCCACACGACCUCCUGUGUGUGGUCUCCCAUUCGGUAGUUUGUUCGUUUCACGAACAGUGUUGCAAUUCA
Molecule: non-coding RNA, 208 nt
Organism: Pelobates cultripes (western spadefoot toad)
Lineage: Eukaryota; Metazoa; Chordata; Amphibia; Anura; Pelobatidae
Source: the annotation of a GenBank genome assembly